RNAcentral lists this ribosomal RNA (230 nucleotides) under uncultured bacterium. RNAcentral's name for it is "partial 16S ribosomal RNA". It matches the Rfam family "Bacterial small subunit ribosomal RNA", at positions 565 to 791 of the family's 1533-position model. The record is from RNAcentral.
GCGUGCGCAGGCGGUUUUGUAAGACUGUCGUGAAAUCCCCGGGCUCAACCUGGGAAUGGCGAUGGUGACUGCAAGGCUAGAGUUUGGCAGAGGGGGGUAGAAUUCCACGUGUAGCAGUGAAAUGCGUAGAUAUGUGGAGGAACACCGAUGGCGAAGGCAGGGGCCCCCUGGGUCAAAACUGACGCUCAUGCACGAAAGCGUGGGGAGCAAACAGGAUUAGAUACCCUGGU